AUGCAAGACUUCACGCUGAGUUAUCCAGCUAAUCAACAGUCAACAGAUCUCCUAGAAAAAAAGAAGAAGAAGAAGCUGAACUGCUUUUGGUCCGAAAGUUUGAAAGAAAGCGAUGAGGACAAUUUCCCUUCAAAGCAGAUCAAUAGCAGCAGAUUCAGAUGAAUGACAUCGAAAAAUCACAAAUCUAAGAGAUCCAGGACAAUCUCAUGGGCAUGGGAAUUGCCACACGGGCCAGAACCCAAGGCCCAAGGGGACAGAGU
This 260-nucleotide long non-coding RNA is filed under the name Sus scrofa (pig). RNAcentral's name for it is "lncRNA (ENSSSCG00015073525.1)". Lineage: Eukaryota; Metazoa; Chordata; Mammalia; Artiodactyla; Suidae. The record is from RNAcentral.